Molecule: ribosomal RNA, 387 nt
Filed under: Thalassiosira sp.
Lineage: Eukaryota; Bacillariophyta; Thalassiosirophyceae; Thalassiosirales; Thalassiosiraceae
Also listed under: 1 other name
Description: partial small subunit ribosomal RNA
Rfam family: Eukaryotic small subunit ribosomal RNA
Source: RNAcentral
AGCUCCAAUAGCGUAUAUUAAAGUUGUUGCAGUUAAAAAGCUCGUAGUUGGAUUUCUGGCAGGAGUGACCGGUCACGCACUCUGUGCGUGAACUUGUGUUGUCUCUGGCCAUCCUUGGGGAGAUCCUGUUUGGCAUUAAGUUGUCGGGCAGGGGAUACCCAUCGUUUACUGUGAAAAAAUUAGAGUGUUUAAAGCAGGCUUAUGCCGUUGAAUAUAUUAGCAUGGAAUAAUAAGAUAGGACUUCGGAACUAUUUUGUUGGUUUGCGUUACGAAGUAAUGAUUAAUAGGGACAGUUGGGGGUAUUCGUAUUUCAUUGUCAGAGGUGAAAUUCUUGGAUUUCUGAAAGACGAACUACUGCGAAAGCAUUUACCAAGGAUGUUUUCAUUA